GUGGGGAAUAUUGCACAAUGGAGGAAACUCUGAUGCAGCGACGCCGCGUGAGUGAAGAAGGUCUUCGGAUCGUAAAACUCUGUCCUUGGUGAAGAAAAAGACGGUAGCCAAGGAGGAAGCCCCGGCUAACUACGUGCCAGCAGCCGCGGUAAUACGUAGGGGGCGAGCGUUGUCCGGAUUUACUGGGCGUAAAGGGUGAGUAGGCGGUUGUAUAUGUCAGGUGUAAAAGGCUAUGGCUUAACCAUGGUUAGCACUUGAAACUGUACAACUUGAGUGCAGGAGAGGUAAGUGGAAUUCCUAGUGUAGCGGUGAAAUGCGUAGAUAUUAGGAGGAACACCAGUGGCGAAGGCGACUUACUGGACUGUAACUGACGCUGAGUCACGAAAGCGUGGGUAGCAAACAGGAUUAGAAACCCUAGUAGUCC
RNAcentral lists this ribosomal RNA (424 nucleotides) under uncultured bacterium. RNAcentral's name for it is "bacterial SSU rRNA". It matches the Rfam family "Bacterial small subunit ribosomal RNA", at positions 354 to 796 of the family's 1533-position model. The record is from RNAcentral.